GAUGAACGCUGGCGGCGUGCCUAAUACAUGCAAGUCGAGCGAACAGAUGAGGAGCUUGCUCCUCUGACGUUAGCGGCGGACGGGUGAGUAACACGUGGAUAACCUACCUAUAAGACUGGGAUAACUUCGGGAAACCGGAGCUAAUACCGGAUAAUAUAUUGAACCGCAUGGUUCAAUAGUGAAAGACGGUUUUGCUGUCACUUAUAGAUGGAUCCGCGCCGCAUUAGCUAGUUGGUAAGGUAACGGCUUACCAAGGCAACGAUGCGUAGCCGACCUGAGAGGGUGGACGGCCCCGCGGGAACGGAAACCCGGCCCAACCCCCAACGGGAGGCAGCAGUGGGGAAUUUGCCGGAAUGGGGGAAAGCCUGACGGAGCAACGCCGGGUGAGUGAUGAAGGUCUUCGGAUCGGAAAACUCUGUUUUUGGGGAAGAAAAAAUGUGUAAGUAACUAUGCACGUUUUGACGGUACCUAAUCAAAAAGCCACGGCUAACUACGU
Molecule: ribosomal RNA, 496 nt
Filed under: uncultured bacterium
Lineage: Bacteria
Description: partial 16S ribosomal RNA
Rfam family: Bacterial small subunit ribosomal RNA
Source: RNAcentral